GACGAACGCUGGCGGCGUGCCUAAUACAUGCAAGUAGAACGCUGAAGAGAGGAGCUUGCUCUUCUUGGAUGAGUUGCGAACGGGUGAGUAACGCGUAGGUAACCUGCCUUGUAGCGGGGGAUAACUAUUGGAAACGAUAGCUAAUACCGCAUAACAAUGGAUGACACAUGUCAUUUAUUUGAAAGGGGCAAUUGCUCCACUACAAGAUGGACCUGCGUUGUAUUAGCUAGUAGGUGAGGUAAUGGCUCACCUAGGCGACGAUACAUAGCCGACCUGCGAGGGUGAGCGGCCACACUGGGACUGGGACACGGCCCAGACUCCUACGGGAGGCAGCAGUAGGGAAUCUUCGGCAAUGGGGGCAACCCUGACCGAGCAACGCCGCGUGAGUGAAGAAGGUUGUCGGAUCGUAAAGCUCUGUUGUAAGUCAAGAACGGGUGUGAGAGUGGAAAGUUCACACUGUGACGGUAGCUUACCAGAAAGGGACGGCUAACUACGUG
This 497-nucleotide ribosomal RNA is filed under the name uncultured bacterium. Its description in RNAcentral is "partial 16S ribosomal RNA". It matches the Rfam family "Bacterial small subunit ribosomal RNA", at positions 28 to 507 of the family's 1533-position model. The record is from RNAcentral.